GUGCCAGCCGCCGCGGUAAUACGAAGGGGGCUAGCGUUGUUCGGAAUUACUGGGCGUAAAGCGCGCGCAGGCGGUCUUCCAAGUCAGUGGUGAAAGCCCGGAGCUCAACUCCGGAACUGCCAUUGAAACUGUUAGACUUGAGGACGAGAGAGGUGAGUGGAAUUCCCAGUGUAGAGGUGAAAUUCGUAGAUAUUGGGAAGAACACCGGUGGCGAAGGCGGCUCACUGGCUCGUAUCUGACGCUCAGGCGCGAUAGCGUGGGGAUCAAACAGGAUUAGAAACCCCAGUAGUCC
This 292-nucleotide ribosomal RNA is filed under the name uncultured bacterium. RNAcentral describes it as "partial 16S ribosomal RNA". It matches the Rfam family "Bacterial small subunit ribosomal RNA", at positions 505 to 796 of the family's 1533-position model. The record is from RNAcentral.